This is a long non-coding RNA of Myotis davidii, 663 nucleotides long. RefSeq lists it as uncharacterized. The transcript is spliced from 2 exons. Lineage: Eukaryota; Metazoa; Chordata; Mammalia; Chiroptera; Vespertilionidae. The record is from RefSeq and is a predicted model, not a curated record.
AGCAGAGAAAAAGAAAAAGAAUGGAGAGAGAAGGACGGGAAAGUCACAGCUAGAGAAGGCAGCUGGGGAGGGCUGGCAUGGGUCAGGCUGGCUCUCCUGGACUCGCUCCCUCCUGAUGGGCCAUAAAUCUGUGUGUGUGCGCACACUGGUGUCUGUCUGUCCAUCUAUGUGCAUGCACGCACUGCACGUGUGUGCAGGGGUUGGUGGUGGGCAGAGGGAUGAUUCCCACAAUAUCCUCAUUCUCAUUUGUUUUAGGAGUCUCCCUCCUUGAGGCACCCCACAUCAACCCCUCAUUUCCCAGCAUUCCUGAUGCUCCAGGGGCCAUUCCCAAGAAAUGCUGUAACUGCACUCCAGGGGCUAUGUGAAUGCCGGAUGCUUGGAAAGUUCCUCUCCCAUCUGCCUUCCAUCCUUUCUGCUGCAAAGAUCUGUGGUCCUCCGAGGGGCUCUCCAGGAGUCAACCCCCUGCCCGAUCUGUGAAACUCAUUCUCCACCGCCCUCAGGGCCCCCUGCUCUGGCUCAGGAGGAGAGGGAGAUGCUGGGUGGGGGCCUGGGGAAGGUGGCCACGCUAAAAAUAGGGGCUCCCAACGGCACCCCCAGCCCCUUAUUUAUCGCCUUCCAAACCCCUCUCUCAAAGAAGCAUAAAUACGCAUUCCUAAUCCUGAA